UUUAAGUUGUAACCAAGGCCACCUUUUGGUUUUUGGAUUCUGCUCAGGACGAACGCUGGCGGCGUGCCUAAUACAUGCAAGUCGAGCGGACAGAUGGGAGCUUGCUCCCUGAUGUUAGCGGCGGACGGGUGAGUAACACGUGGGUAACCUGCCUGUAAGACUGGGAUAACUCCGGGAAACCGGGGCUAAUACCGGAUGGUUGUUUGAACCGCAUGGUUCAAACAUAAAAGGUGGCUUCGGCUACCACUUACAGAUGGACCCGCGGCGCAUUAGCUAGUUGGUGAGGUAACGGCUCACCAAGGCAACGAUGCGUAGCCGACCUGAGAGGGUGAUCGGCCACACUGGGACUGAGACACGGCCCAGACUCCUACGGGAGGCAGCAGUAGGGAAUCUUCCGCAAUGGACGAAAGUCUGACGGAGCAACGCCGCGUGAGUGAUGAAGGUUUUCGGAUCGUAAAGCUCUGUUGUUAGGGAAGAACAAGUACCGUUCGAAUAGGGCGGUACCUUGACGGUACCUAACCAGAAAGCCACGGCUAACUACGUGCCAGCAGCCGCGGUAAUACGUAGGUGGCAAGCGUUGUCCGGAAUUAUUGGGCGUAAAGGGCUCGCAGGCGGUUUCUUAAGUCUGAUGUGAAAGCCCCCGGCUCAACCGGGGAGGGUCAUUGGAAACUGGGGAACUUGAGUGCAGAAGAGGAGAGUGGAAUUCCACGUGUAGCGGUGAAAUGCGUAGAGAUGUGGAGGAACACCAGUGGCGAAGGCGACUCUCUGGUCUGUAACUGACGCUGAGGAGCGAAAGCGUGGGGAGCGAACAGGAUUAGAUACCCUGGUAGUCCACGCCGUAAACGAUGAGUGCUAAGUGUUAGGGGGUUUCCGCCCCUUAGUGCUGCAGCUAACGCAUAAGCACUCCGCCUGGGAGAUUUUGGAGGG
RNAcentral lists this ribosomal RNA (927 nucleotides) under Bacillus subtilis. Its description in RNAcentral is "bacterial SSU rRNA". It matches the Rfam family "Bacterial small subunit ribosomal RNA", at positions 1 to 889 of the family's 1533-position model. The record is from RNAcentral. Lineage: Bacteria; Bacillati; Bacillota; Bacilli; Caryophanales; Bacillaceae.